Molecule: unclassified non-coding RNA, 310 nt
Filed under: uncultured Chaetomium
Lineage: Eukaryota; Fungi; Ascomycota; Sordariomycetes; Sordariales; Chaetomiaceae
Description: sequence contains ITS1
Rfam family: 5.8S ribosomal RNA (bases 1-105)
Source: RNAcentral
GAAAUGCGAUAAGUAAUGUGAGUUGCAGAAUUCAGUGAUUCAUCGAAUCUUUAAACGCACAUUGCGCCCGCCAGUAUUCUGGCGGGCAUGCCUGUUCGAGCGUCAUUUCAACCAUCAAGCCCCCGGGCUUGUGUUGGGGACCCUGCGGCUGCCCGCAGGCCCUGAAAUGCAGUGGCGGGCUCGCUGUCCACACAGACCGUAGUAGCAUGACACCUCGCUCAGGGCGAGCGGCGGGCUCCGGCCGUUAAACGCGACCUUCACGCAUACCAAGGUUGACCUCGGAUCAGGUAGGACGACCCGCUGAACUUAA